Zingiber officinale is the source of this 944-nucleotide long non-coding RNA. RefSeq lists it as uncharacterized. The record is from RefSeq and is a predicted model, not a curated record. The transcript is spliced from 3 exons. NCBI's taxonomy places the organism in Eukaryota, Viridiplantae, Streptophyta, Magnoliopsida, Zingiberales, Zingiberaceae.
GACUCCUUGACCUGAAUCAUUUUGUUAUGCCUCAUUGUAUGUCCUGUUCUUUGAGUUUCUUGUUUCUUACGCAUGCUACAACUUUGACAUUUUGUGCCUCCUGAUUCCCAUUUAUUAACUAGAUGAAUAUCAAGUUUAUUCAUACUGUCAUAGUGUAUUGAUCUAGUAGCAGUGGCUUGUAGAAUGAUGUUGGUCAUUUUAUCUGAGGCCUCCAUUAUUUGGUUCCAUGUAGAAAAUCGAAAAGAACAUGAUUUAAAUUUUGGUUUCUAUGUCUUGCUUUGGUUUGAUGAGUUUGAUAGUUUAAUUAUAUUUGGUUCUUGUUUUUUUUUGAAAAAAAUUUUUAACCAAAAAUGCCAAAAUAUAAUUUGUAAUAUAUUUUCAAGUAAAUCCUCAAAGCCUUGUCCAACCAUAAUAAUCUUGUCAAAUUUUAUGAUGCAUGUGAGGAUGCACUUAACGUCUACGUAGUCAUGGAGUAUGUCUUAAUUAACUCUAGUUAACUUAACAAUGAGUAACAACGUUUCUACAUAUGAUAUUUGUUCCAUGUCACAAGAUAGAGUUGAUAUAUCCAAAACUUUUUGCAUGUAGUAUCCUACUAAUAUGCCUCUUUGCUUUCCACUUUGUAUCCUGCACUAAGGAAAAAUGAUAAUACUUUUCCAUACAAAUUUUAAAAUGAACACUUCUAAGAUGAUGGGCAGCAAUUUUUUUUUAAAAAAAUUAUGUAGUACUUCUGUUAAUUUGGAACUCAACAAUAUGUUUUUCUCUUUUCCAGAUUAUGUGAAGGUGGAGAAUUAUUAGAAAGAAUUUUAUCCAGAGGUGGAAGGUACUCAGAGGAGGAUGCAAAAGCUAUAGUUAUUCAAAUACUGAGUGUAAUCGCCUUUUGUCAUCUUCAAGGUGUUGUGCAUCGUGAUUUAAAGCCAGAGAAUUUUCUUUUCACCACUAGAGAU